GGCAAGCAUAUAUGUGUGCCCGUCAACCCGGAGAGACAUUACGGAUGGUGGACGUUGAGUGCUAUCAUCAUCACUCAAAACUUAUUAAAAUUAUGGCCAUCGUUUGAAGCUCGUGCUUUUUAAGUGAACCGUACGCGAAAUGGCGGCCGGCACACCAAAACAACAAAGGGCACCUUUGCGCACGGUGCGCCAGGUGAAAUAUUGAUGAAAGAUGUGCCUCGAUUUCGGGGGGAAAACAGGGAGAGGCGGAGGGUAGGAGAUGCUGAAGGACCUCUGGAAGGUGCGAUGGCGGUGGGCUUUGAUCUUUGCCGUCGUCGCCAUCAAUUGACCGCGCGAACCGGUGACUUCGUUUCGCGGUACCGCCCCAUCGAAGGCUUCCCGCUUUUGAGUACCGGCAAUGAUGAUAAACUGCAUCACCGGGAUGAAGUGCUUCAUCGGCAUCAAUCGCAUGGUGUUUCGUGGUUGACGCUCCGUUCUUUGCAGUGAAGAAUGCUGAUGAAGAAGUGGCUGAUGGGACGUGGAACAAUUAUUUGCUUUUCUUAAUAAAAUUUAGCUCAAUAAGGAAGAACGCAAGCAUUGUUAAUAAUCGAAAUAAACGAAUUAAAAUAAAAUUUAAUUUACCAAAAAAUUCCUUGCGUACUAACGGUAAAAAACCGAGAUCAUGUACAAGUGAUUUUACUUUAAACAAACUCCUAAAAAGCAACACAUAAAAUCAACAUAUAAAACUUGUUCGAACAAACAUCAGCGCGAAUAUUGUGCUCGGUGUCGCAUGGUUCUUAAACGAAGCCCACGAAAAAUCCAUUCCACGGGCGCUGUGACGUAAUAAAAGUAAAACUUCAGCCCACUCGUCCAGAAUGGCAAGCAAUUCCAAAUUAAAAGUCGCGUAUUUUGCUUUUCCCAGCCCUCCACCCCCCUCCUUUCCACUGUUUCAGGUUGUUAGAAUCGAGGGUUUUCACACUCACUUUCCAACCCUGGCCAAAAACCUGGCCCGCCUGCGAAACCGUAGCAUGGUGACAAUUUUGUACUUUCCAGUGGGUUGCUUUUUUUUUUGGUUCUUCCUGCUGUUGCUUUUUUGCACCCUGUGCAGACCACUGUGCAGACAUCACCUUGUCCCUGCAUAUCAAAUGAGCCGAAGCCGAACGAGUUGAAGCGAAGUAGCGCGCUUGCUUACUAAAAAAAAAAUAAAACGGGUUGUGAAGAAAGGAUAAAUUUUUAAUUGAAUUCGUGACUUGGUCUAGAAAUGCGAAAUGGUUCGCUUCCAAAGCAUAAAACUUAAUUACUUACAAUGCUGUUGUUUUUAUUUCAUUAAAAGAAGAUUUUGAGCUAUAGAUUUCUGGGCUGAUUUGCAAGACGGCCCAUAUACAGUGUGGUCGGGAUCGUAUAAAAACACGCGCCACUACAGUGCCGCAGCUUCCCCGUGGAAGGGUUUUUUCGUGGCGGAAGAGCCCGAGCGGGGGGAGGGGAGCUGUGGAUCGAAAUUUAAUUAGAACGCUUAACCCACACCGUCGGCGUGCCAUUAUCGUACCGGUCGCCAUUUAACGCCGGGUGUUUGUCGAGCAACAAGAACGUCAAACAUGUGUAUCAAUUUUUUAGCCCGAUCGAAUCGGUUUUUCUCGGGGAUUGUCGAAUGUUUGUGGUGGGUGAAAUUGUGGUAAACAUGGCUGUAUAUUGGAAGAUUAUAUGGAUGUGUGUAAAGGUUUUGUAAUAAAAAUAUUAAUUUUA
Anopheles funestus (African malaria mosquito) is the source of this 1722-nucleotide long non-coding RNA. RefSeq lists it as uncharacterized. The transcript has 2 exons. The record is from RefSeq and is a predicted model, not a curated record. Lineage: Eukaryota; Metazoa; Arthropoda; Insecta; Diptera; Culicidae.